This 460-nucleotide ribosomal RNA is filed under the name uncultured bacterium. Its description in RNAcentral is "partial 16S ribosomal RNA". It matches the Rfam family "Bacterial small subunit ribosomal RNA", at positions 338 to 795 of the family's 1533-position model. The record is from RNAcentral.
CCUACGGGAGGCAGCAGUGAGGAAUAUUGGUCAAUGGGCUUACGCCUGAACCAGCCAAGUCGCGUGAGGGAAGACUGCCCUAUGGGUUGUAAACCUCUUUUGUCAGGGAGCAACGCCGGCUACGUGUAGCCGGACUGAGAGUACCUGAAGAAAAAGCAUCGGCUAACUCCGUGCCAGCAGCCGCGGUAAUACGGAGGAUGCGAGCGUUAUCCGGAUUUAUUGGGUUUAAAGGGUGCGUAGGCGGAAUGCCAAGUCAGCGGUAAAAUCGCGGGGCUCAACCUCGCUCCGCCGUUGAAACUGGCGUUCUUGAGUGGGCGAGAGGUAUGCGGAAUGCGUGGUGUAGCGGUGAAAUGCGUAGAUAUCACGCAGAACUCCAAUUGCGAAGGCAGCAUACCGGCGCCCAACUGACGCUGAAGCACGAAAGCGUGGGUAGCGAACAGGAUUAGAUACCCCAGUAGUC